GAUGAACGCUGGCGGCGUGCCUAAUACAUGCAAGUCGAGCGAACGGACGAGAAGCUUGCUUCUCUGAUGUUAGCGGCGGACGGGUGAGUAACACGUGGAUAACCUACCUAUAAGACUGGGAUAACUUCGGGAAACCGUAGCUAAUACCGGAUAAUAUUUUGAACCGCAUGGUUCAAAAGUGAAAGACGGUCUUGCUGUCACUUAUAGAUGGAUCCGCGCUGCAUUAGCUAGUUGGUAAGGUAACGGCUUACCAAGGCAACGAUGCAUAGCCGACCUGAGAGGGUGGUCGGCCACACUGGAACUGAGACACGGUCAAGACUCCUACGGGAGGCAGCAGUAGGGAAUCUUCCGCAAUGGGCGAAAGCCUGACGGAGCAACGCCGCGUGAGUGAUGAAGGUCUUCGGAUCGUAAAACUCUGUUAUUAGGGAAGAACAUAUGUGUAAGUAACUGUGCACAUCUUGACGGUACCUAAUCAGAAAGCCACGGCUAACUACGUG
This 497-nucleotide ribosomal RNA is filed under the name uncultured bacterium. Its description in RNAcentral is "partial 16S ribosomal RNA". It matches the Rfam family "Bacterial small subunit ribosomal RNA", at positions 28 to 507 of the family's 1533-position model. The record is from RNAcentral.